RNAcentral lists this non-coding RNA (103 nucleotides) under Algibacter lectus. Its description in RNAcentral is "TPP sequence". It matches the Rfam family "TPP riboswitch aptamer (THI element)". Rfam says of the family: Vitamin B(1) in its active form thiamin pyrophosphate (TPP) is an essential coenzyme that is synthesised by coupling of pyrimidine and thiazole moieties in bacteria. The record is from Rfam by way of RNAcentral. Lineage: Bacteria; Pseudomonadati; Bacteroidota; Flavobacteriia; Flavobacteriales; Flavobacteriaceae.
AGUAAACUUUAGGAGUAAUUAAUUAUUAAGUUAAUUAGUUUGAGAAAUAUCCUUAGAACCUGAUUUGGUUAACACCAACGGAGGGAAAAGUUAACAGUGUAAC